Molecule: long non-coding RNA, 1959 nt
Organism: Lycium ferocissimum
Lineage: Eukaryota; Viridiplantae; Streptophyta; Magnoliopsida; Solanales; Solanaceae
Exons: 3
Source: RefSeq, a predicted model, not a curated record
UUUUUUUUCUAUUCAAUUUCAUUGUAUGAAUAUGUAAGAAUAUAUUAUUUACCUCUUCUUUUUGGUCACCCUUCGAUUUUUGGUUCUCUGCUUAUAUUUGUCUCCUUCUUUCUAUGGAACUCCACUUUUGGUGGUUGCCUUUCCUCUACUACUCCUUCCCGUCAGAUUCAAUUCUAAUUUUUGGCCUCUUGCUUGGUUUAUUUAGUAUUUCUGCAUAUGAUGCUCUUCUGGCCGAUUUGUAUACCUUUUAGAUGUUCAGCCUUCAAAGACAAAAGAAAAGUGAAGUGACCAGUGAGGACCCAUUAAUAGAAUAGUGCACAUGUUUGCUAGGCAUUUCUUUUGAAUGAGGUGUCUUAAAAUUGUCAAUAAAGUUGUUUUGGAUGCACUGCUUCUAUGCUUUCUUUUCUUGACAGGAGUUUAAGUCAUUUUUUGCCCUUACUUUCUACACAUAGAGGGGUAUUUAUUGAUCUCACAGAAUAGGAUAUGUAGGACCAAGAAAUGCAUUAAAGAGAAAUGUACAACAAUUGUUUUGUGUCAUUUAUCAUAAUCUCUUGACAAGCAGAUCAUAAGAAUAGAAACUUUGGAUAGUUAUUCUCUACUUCCUCCUCCUCUAUGAUUGAGGGUAUUGAGAGUGCAAACUGCCUUCACCAUAGAAAUAACAGCAGAUGCAAACCUAAGGAGCAAAUGCAAUACUGUGGAUCAUACAGAGGAAGUUAAAGUCUUGGGUUUCAAGAAGUUAAAGGUGUGAUGACGGAAAUCAUUGAGAAGACAGACUAUGCUAACCUCUUUUUGGAUCAUACGCUUUCAAAAGACUUUAUUUCUUAAUUUGAAACUGGAAAGAAUCCAAAAAACUGUAUGUGGCUGAUUGAUGUGAGUUAUAUCCUUACAAGUUCUUGAUCAUUUGGUAUGUAAAGGCUUGUCCAUAUUGGAUCACCCCCUUUUCGUUUGGAUUGUUUCUUACUUAUUUUCACAUGCGUGUUUGAAUUUAUAUACCCUGGUACAUACCUAUGAGAAGCACUGACGGAAAUUUAGCUAUAAAUUAUGUCAAGUAAAAGGUAGGCACCCAAUAAGGGGCAUUGACUGCUACUUUAAAGCCAAGGUGCAGCCGCCACAAGAAGAAAAUGAAAAAAAAAAAAAUGCAAGCCAAAGGAAGAGGAGAUGGAGGAGAAAAUACAAAGAAAAAGUUACUGUAAAUGGAUAUCACUUUCAACUUUCAUGGUAAAUGUAAUGCGUCGUUAGUUCUUUUCAGUUUCUCAUUGUGCCUUGCCCUUAGCAUAAAAUGCAUGCUUAAUUAUAAAUGUUGUGAAUUUUUAAAAAGUUGAUGCGAUGAAGAGUCUAAUUAGGCUACCUUGUGCGGUAGAAUUUUUUUGGCAUGCAUAUGAUACUGUAGUUCUACUAUUAAAAGGCAACUUAUUGAAAUUACUUGCAUUGAUCUAAUUAAGAUUGACCACUAAGUUAGGUCUGUGGGAAAAAUUGCGGAGAUGAAUAUAUAAUUAUCAGGUCUGUUUUUUAAUUCUAAGCCUGUAAUCACUCAAUCUUUGUGAACUAUAAUUUAUCAAGGUUUGAUUCAUUUUAAGACCAUUUGUUCUUCCAUACAUUUCUGUCUAAAUAUACACAGUAAAUGGACUAUGCAAACUCAUUUGAAGGCCAUCAACAAGUAAAACUUGAAGCUCUUGGAAAAAAUCCUCUUAUGCACAUGAAAAUACUAGGGAGGAAGAAAGAUUUUUCUAGGCUAUAAAAAGGCAGUAACUUUUAGGUAAAGUGACCGAAUGGUGAUUCAUGCAUAAAUAAGACUUCCCUACAUGAAUGUGAAACUGGAGCAAAAGCAAACCUCAAGCAGGAUCCAAAGAUUCCUAAGGAACGAAAUUAUAUUCACCGAAUGAAGGAUGUACCAACAAUUGAGAUUAUCCAUUGGAUGUUGUAGAGGAAGGAUGGUGCUUAACUUGGAGCCAGCGAACA